UACGGAGGGUGCGAGCGUUGUCCGGAAUCACUGGGCGUAAAGGGCGCGUAGGCGGCUCAUGAAGGCUGUGGUGAAAGUCCGGGGCUCAACCUCGGAUCGGCCGUGGCGACUCGUGGGCUGGAGCACUGUAGAGGCGGGUGGAAUUCCUGGUGUAGCGGUGGAAUGCGCAGAUAUCAGGAGGAACACCAAUAGCGAAGGCAGCGCGCUGGGACGUUACUGACACUGAGGCGCGAAAGCGUGGGGAGCGAACAGG
RNAcentral lists this ribosomal RNA (253 nucleotides) under uncultured bacterium. RNAcentral describes it as "partial 16S ribosomal RNA". It matches the Rfam family "Bacterial small subunit ribosomal RNA", at positions 524 to 776 of the family's 1533-position model. The record is from RNAcentral.